GAUCUUUCCUCUCCAGUAAGUGAAUCCACUCUUCAAUUCCACUCAUUCGAUCUCAAAGCAUGCGUCCACAAUCCUAUUUCCAAGAUUUCGAAGACUACCACAAUAUUAUAUGUUUUUGCAUUUUUCACAAGAGUUUAACCAACAGAUAUGAUUAACCAUUCCAACUUGAGUGGGAUUAAGAAGAUAGGUAGACAUAUUGAUAAACUAUUGAAGUCCACAAGUAGUCAUAUGGGUUCAAUGAUGGCGAAGCAUGAACGAUGGAUGUCGUAACGUUUGACCGCUAUACGUAAAUUAAUAAAUUAAUUGAUUACAAAUGCAUGAUGAAUCUUCUAGUAGCAGAUACAAAUUACUCAUUAUAUAAAGGCAUGCAACUCCAGUACUUCCCCAAAUACUAGACGAUAGAACAUACAAUUCCGACAAUAUAAUACAAGUAUGGGUCGACAUCUUUUGUUGGUGAUACUGCUGUUACACAUGACCAGCAUUGGUCUCGCCACCAGCCCACCAACCCCGACGUCGCCUUCACCUGCUCCAGCUGCCGGGGUUCGUGUUGGCGGUGGAGGAGGAGGGGGAGGAGCUGGUGGCAGUAGUGGAAGGGGUUCGACUGGUUCUGGGUCUGGGUUCGGGGCAGGGAGUGGCUCAGGGGUGGAUCCAGGCACCGGUGGAAGCUUCGGGGGAGGAGGUGGUGGUCAAGGUGGCGGUGGAGGCAGCGCCGGAGGUAGUGGGUUUGGCAUGGGAAGUGGGUCAGGUUCGGGAUACAAGGGUGGCGGUGGCGGCAGCGGUGGCACACCUGCCGCCUCUCUCGGCCGUAGGUCUGCAGGCAUUUUCUAAACUAAUGGAAGUGGUGUAUACUAUACAUAUAACAUAAACAGUUAACCUUCUUCUAGGGUUCAUAUAAAGUGUGUCGUCGUUUGCUUUCUGUCAUGCAUGUUUGAAUAAAGCUGUCGGCGGCCGGCCGGGCUAGCUCUAUGUUCCAUAAGCUGUUUGCAUGUCAGUGUAAAAUAUAGUCAUAUAUUGAAUAAGAAGUGGAAGAAGGUUUACAGUGUGAUUUUGGUAA
RNAcentral lists this long non-coding RNA (1054 nucleotides) under Linum usitatissimum (flax). RNAcentral describes it as "long non-coding RNA (LUSI_LNC005179)". The record is from RNAcentral. Lineage: Eukaryota; Viridiplantae; Streptophyta; Magnoliopsida; Malpighiales; Linaceae.